Molecule: ribosomal RNA, 251 nt
Filed under: uncultured prokaryote
Description: partial 16S rRNA
Rfam family: Bacterial small subunit ribosomal RNA
Source: RNAcentral
ACGUAGGGGGCAAGCGUUGUCCGGAAUUACUGGGCGUAAAGCGCACGCAGGCGGUUCGUUAAGUCGGAUGUGAAAGCCCGCGGCUCAACCCCGGAUUGCCUUUUGAUACUGGUGGACUGGAGUUUGGUUGAGGUAGGUGGAAUGCCCGGUGUAGCGGUGAAAUGCGUAGAUAUCGGGAGGAACACCAGUGGCGAAGGCGGCUUCCUGGCCGACAACUGACGCUCAUGUGCGAAAGCUGGGGGAGCAAACGG